Molecule: ribosomal RNA, 676 nt
Filed under: Lentinus crinitus
Lineage: Eukaryota; Fungi; Basidiomycota; Agaricomycetes; Polyporales; Polyporaceae
Description: LSU rRNA
Rfam family: Eukaryotic large subunit ribosomal RNA
Source: RNAcentral
GGAUUCCCCUAGUAACUGCGAGUGAAGCGGGAAAAGCUCAAAUUUAAAAUCUGGCGGUCUUUGGCCGUCCGAGUUGUAGUCUGGAGAAGUGCUUUCCGCGCUGGACCGUGUAUAAGUCUCUUGGAACAGAGCGUCAUAGAGGGUGAGAAUCCCGUCUUUGACACGGACUACCAGUGCUUUGUGAUGCGCUCUCAAAGAGUCGAGUUGUUUGGGAAUGCAGCUCAAAAUGGGUGGUGAAUUCCAUCUAAAGCUAAAUAUUGGCGAGAGACCGAUAGCGAACAAGUACCGUGAGGGAAAGAUGAAAAGCACUUUGGAAAGAGAGUUAAACAGUACGUGAAAUUGCUGAAAGGGAAACGCUUGAAGUCAGUCGCGUCUGCCGGAACUCAGCCUUCCUCUUGGUUGGUGCACUUUCCGGUAGACGGGUCAGCAUCGAUUUUGACCGUCGGAAAAGGGCUGGGGAAAUGUGGCACCCUUCGGGGUGUGUUAUAGUCUUCAGUCGCAUACGGCGGUCGGGAUCGAGGAACGCAGCGCGCCGCAAGGCAGGGGUUCGCCCACUUACGCGCUAAGGAUGCUGGCAUAAUGGCUUUAAACGACCCGUCUUGAAACACGGACCAAGGAGUCUAACAAACCUGCGAGUGUUUGGGUGGAAAACCCGAGCGCGUAAUGAAAGUGAAAG